This 259-nucleotide long non-coding RNA is filed under the name Medicago truncatula (barrel medic). RNAcentral's name for it is "long non-coding RNA (MTRU_LNC000214)". Lineage: Eukaryota; Viridiplantae; Streptophyta; Magnoliopsida; Fabales; Fabaceae. The record is from RNAcentral.
UACUGUGUAUGAAAUUAAAAUUAGCACAUCCCUUUAAAACCAAACAUAUGAAUCAAGAAGGACAUUGAAAAGAUUUAUUUCAUUAAACCGAUUGAAGAAACACCGUAAAAGGUUGAGCGAUGGAGAUUAAAAGAAGAAAACCGAAUUCGAGAGAAAGAAUACAAGAGAAUUCUUUUAAUUCAUUUUUCUUUAAUUCAAGUUGGUCUGAGCAAUGGAAUGGAGUUCGGGAGAGAGAAAUCGAUAGAAAAGGAGGAAGGAG